GGGCCGUUAGCUCAGCGGUUAGAGCAGGGGACUCAUAAUCCCUUGGUCCUAGGUUCAAAUCCUAGACGGCCCACCA
Molecule: transfer RNA, 76 nt
Filed under: Thiocapsa marina
Lineage: Bacteria; Pseudomonadati; Pseudomonadota; Gammaproteobacteria; Chromatiales; Chromatiaceae
Also listed under: 14 other names
Rfam family: tRNA
About the family: Transfer RNA (tRNA) molecules are approximately 80 nucleotides in length. Their secondary structure includes four short double-helical elements and three loops (D, anti-codon, and T loops).
Source: RNAcentral